Molecule: transfer RNA, 73 nt
Filed under: Cavia porcellus (domestic guinea pig)
Lineage: Eukaryota; Metazoa; Chordata; Mammalia; Rodentia; Caviidae
Rfam family: tRNA
About the family: Transfer RNA (tRNA) molecules are approximately 80 nucleotides in length. Their secondary structure includes four short double-helical elements and three loops (D, anti-codon, and T loops). Further hydrogen bonds mediate the characteristic L-shaped molecular structure. tRNAs have two regions of fundamental functional importance: the anti-codon, which is responsible for specific mRNA codon recognition, and the 3' end, to which the tRNAs corresponding amino acid is attached (by aminoacyl-tRNA synthetases). tRNAs cope with the degeneracy of the genetic code in two manners: having more than one tRNA (with a specific anti-codon) for a particular amino acid; and 'wobble' base-pairing, i.e. permitting non-standard base-pairing at the 3rd anti-codon position.
Source: Rfam by way of RNAcentral
GGGGAUAUGGCUUAGUGGCACAGCGCCUGCCUGGCAAGCAUGAGGUGUCCUGGUUUGAGUACCUGUAACUCCC